RNAcentral lists this transfer RNA (74 nucleotides) under Candidatus Kaiserbacteria bacterium RIFOXYB1_FULL_46_14. RNAcentral describes it as "tRNA-Met". It matches the Rfam family "tRNA". From Rfam's summary of the family: Transfer RNA (tRNA) molecules are approximately 80 nucleotides in length. Their secondary structure includes four short double-helical elements and three loops (D, anti-codon, and T loops). The record is from RNAcentral. Lineage: Bacteria; Candidatus Kaiseribacteriota.
GUCGGGGUAGCUCAGUUGGUGAGAGCGUAGCAUUCAUAACGCUAAGGUCGAGAGUUCAAGUCUCUCCCCCGGCA